This 74-nucleotide transfer RNA is filed under the name Anaerolineae bacterium. Its description in RNAcentral is "tRNA-Pro". It matches the Rfam family "tRNA". From Rfam's summary of the family: Transfer RNA (tRNA) molecules are approximately 80 nucleotides in length. Their secondary structure includes four short double-helical elements and three loops (D, anti-codon, and T loops). The record is from RNAcentral. RNAcentral also lists the same sequence under 2 other names. Lineage: Bacteria; Bacillati; Chloroflexota; Anaerolineae.
CGGGGUGUGGCGCAGUCUGGUAGCGCGCUUCGUUCGGGUCGAAGAGGUCGCCGGUUCGAGUCCGGCCACCCCGA